Molecule: ribosomal RNA, 468 nt
Filed under: uncultured bacterium
Lineage: Bacteria
Description: partial 16S ribosomal RNA
Rfam family: Bacterial small subunit ribosomal RNA
Source: RNAcentral
GACGAACGCUGGCGGCGUGCUUAACACAUGCAAGUCGAACGGAAAGGCCCUGCUUUUGUGGGGUGCUCGAUUGGCGAACGGGUGAGUAACACGUGAGUAACCUGCCCUUGACUUUGGGAUAACUUCAGGAAACUGGGGCUAAUACCGGAUAGGAGCUCCUGCUGCAUGGUGGGCGUUGGAAAGUUUCGGCGGUUGGGGAUGGACUCGCGGCUUAUCAGCUUGUUGGUGGGGUAGUGGCUUACCAAGGCUUUGACGGGUAGCCGGCCUGAGAGGGUGACCGGCCACAUUGGGACUGCGGUACGGCGCAGACUCCUACGGGAGGCAGCAGUGGGGAAUAUUGCACAAUGGGCGGGAGCCUGAUGCAGCAACGCCGCGUGCGGGAUGACGGCCUUCGGGUUGUAAACCGCUUUCGCCUGUGACGAAGCGUGAGUGACGGUAAUGGGUAAAGAAGCACCGGCUAACUACGUG